This 420-nucleotide ribosomal RNA is filed under the name uncultured bacterium. Its description in RNAcentral is "bacterial SSU rRNA". It matches the Rfam family "Bacterial small subunit ribosomal RNA", at positions 355 to 786 of the family's 1533-position model. The record is from RNAcentral.
UGGGGAAUAUUGCACAAUGGGGGAAACCCUGAUGCAGCGACGCCGCGUGAGUGAAGAAGUAUUUCGGUAUGUAAAGCUCUAUCAGCAGGGAAGAUAAUGACGGUACCUGACUAAGAAGCCCCGGCUAACUACGUGCCAGCAGCCGCGGUAAUACGUAGGGGGCAAGCGUUAUCCGGAUUUUACUGGGUGUAAAGGGAGCGUAGGUGGCAAGGCAAGUCAGAUGUGAAAACCCGGGGCUCAAACUCCGGGAUUGCAUUUGAAACUGUCUGGCUGGAGUGCAGGAGAGGUAAGUGGAAUUCCUAGUGUAGCGGUGAAAUGCAUAGAUAUUAGGAGGAACACCAGUGGCGAAGGCGGCUUACUGGACUGUAACUGACACUGAGGCUCGAAAGCGAUGGGGAGCAAAAGCAGGAUUAAGAUACC